CCCAACAACCGGAAGACUGGUCAUGAGCCCCCAUUUUUUUAAAAAAAUUUCCUUCAUCUGCCAAUAGCUCUGAGCAGAGAGACAGCCACAUUCGGAGUGGCCAUGUCCUGAAACCCUGACCGGGGCAGCGGGGACUGGAGAAGGAACAGACACAUACACACAGACACAUGUACAGAAAAGCGUGGGUUUGGAUUCAUCUCAGCCAGCCCCUCAGGAAUACAGCUGUGUCAUCACAUCCUGUGGCAUCCUAAUAUUUCAUACUAAGCCGUAAACCAAUUAGGAAUGACUACUCCCUCUGCUGACUCAUGGGAAGAGAAGGGGAUAAUGUGUCCUUCAGAUGCUGAAGAAUCUGAGCUCUGAUGUGCAGGGGGAAGUACAACUGCAAAGCAUGCAUUGCUCAAGACAGCAUGUCUAUCAUCGUUCCUGUCACCGUGAGAAGAUGUCCGAUGGAAGCAACCUCAGGAGGAAGAGCUAUUUUGGCUCACGGUUUUGGAGGAUAUGAAGUCCAUCACAGUUGAGAAGACACGGAGGAUGGUAAGCAGACUAGGAAAUAGGAAGCUAGCCUAGAAAAAAACGGUAUGACCUUGGUAAGGUAGUCUUCAAAAGCCUGGUGUCAAUGGUCUAUGUUCUUCACUGAAUCUCAUGUUCCAAAUGUUUCAUAACCAUUAGGACAGCAUUAUUAUGGGAGAUCAAGUGUUCAGGUGUGCAGCCUGAGGGAGAUAUUGCAAAUUCAGAUAACGCCAGGUGGGUUGCACUUGGGUGCAGAGCAAACGCCUGUUUUCUGCUUUUUUCUUUCACUGGGCACUGAGCUCGUUGGGUGGUACCAUCCUAGGGUGGCUCCCACUCUCUUAGUCUCAUGCUUUGCUCUUCUCAGAAAACAUUCUUGGACCCAUCCAGAAGUGAGCUUAACCCAUUUCUAGGCAACUCUCACCCCACUCAAGCUGACAGUCGGCAUGGAUCACCCUCAAAGGACUGAUCUAUUCUCCUCAGCUAGACGGGAAGAUCAUAGACCAAGUGUUUUGCCCGUGUGUAUGUAAGUGGACUACCCUCACUUCUGUGGAGCCCAGAAGAGACACCUAGAUCCCCUGAAACUGGAACAGCUGUCAGUGAUGUGUCCUGGAACACUGUAAGACGGAGAGAACAUACAGAAGACAGAGCUUCCUAUUUGGAGGUGGAAUGAAGGUAAACAGGAUUAAGUUGUUUUUCAGGUUCUGGAAUCAUCUUGCAAGAUUAUCAGACCCAUUUUAAGAAUUUUAGCUGUACGUGUCAUUUUGAAUACACAGAGGUUCUACCCGAUGUGGCUCCAGUCUUCUCUUUGCUCCCCAGUUCUUCAAAUAGACUUAAGAUGUGGAUUUAACAAAAUGAAAAAUGAGGUCUUGAGAGGUGGCUCUGGGGUUAGAAGCACUUGCUGCUCCUGCAGAGAGACUUGGGUUCUGUUCCCAGCAUACACAGGAGGCUCACUCCUGUCUGUAACUGCGAUCUGCAGGAUUUAAUGCCCUCUUCUGGCCACUGUGGGUACUGCAUACACUUGCACAAACGUGCAAUGAAUAACAUCUCAAAAAAGUUAAAACUGCGAAAAAUGAAUGAACGUACAUCUCGGACAACAAGUCACGUGUAGGAGAGUCAAACUGUCUGCCACAGUAAUUGGAGGAAGACCAUAACAAUAGGGGUCUCUGUGCUGACUUACAUAGAAUUUAACAUAAUUUAAGCCUACUUUGGGUCUGGAAGAUUUCUUGUAAAAUCAUAGAUGUCUGGAUUGUUUAAAAUUCAGUACAUCUAAGUCCCUGAAUUACGUUAGCCUGUUGGGUUUGGCACAGUCAUCCAGAGGCACGGAGUACCUGCCUUCACAGGCCAAGAGCCUGCUGUUCGAUUCGAGACUUUCCAUUUGUUCAGUCAUCAUUGUGUUCUGGGUCUCAAAGUGUAAAAGGAUAAAUUAGACUUCUUUACACAGAGCCUCUUUCUGAGCUGUAUCUUUGGAGGAAGCAGAAUGUGAAUUGAUGUAAUUCACACAUUUGCAAUUCCUAUCAGGUAAGAGGGUUGGAACACCUUGAGCUGGUGCCUCUAAGGCCAAGAGAAGUCACCUCUGAAGAAUGAGACCAUGGGAGAGUCUGCUGUAGUGAGAAGGAAUCUUUUCAAUUCUCAGAUGCAGAUUGAAGACUCAGGAAGUGGGCCAGGGAAGCUUAGACAAAGUGGAUGCAGAUUUCAACCCCCAAGUCAUAGGAGAGGCUGAAGCUAGGUUUCUUGUUUGAAAGAAUGGUUCAAGAGCAGUCUUUUCAGACUGGAAGGAUUCUAGGCAUCUUGAUAAAGACACGAGUGAGAUUCAAGCUCACUGCAGUCCCAGUGCUCAGAACCCACCGAGCAAUGUUUCUGUUGUUUUUGUCCUCCUGGACUCAGUCUGCUGUGAGUUUUACUUUGAAUUUGGAUGACUUCAGAUAUGAAUGUAUGGCUGAUGGCUGGACUCUGUCAAGGUCUAGCUCCGUGGUGCUGAAAGGAAAUUUGAGAUAUAAUUAAAACACACAAUAAAGAGUGGUUUUCUUCUUCUUAUUAAUCAAGAACACAGAAGAGAUGUGUCCUCUACCAACAAGAUGCAGUUACUAGUAGGGUUAGAAUUCACAUCCUGCGGCAGAUGAGGGUCAACUCACAUUCUGGGCUUUGCCAGAAGAAUCUGAAAAGAAACCGCAUCCCCUGCUGGGUGGCACACGGUCAUGUAUCAGUGCGGACAGAGAGAUGAACCCCUUGGCUCACCUAUUUUGGAGUUUAUAAGAGAAAAAAAGCCCUCCCCGUGUUAGGAAAUUAGAAAAGACAAGAGGACUGGGAUCUGUGCCCUAAAUCCAUCCUUUUAGAUUAAUAUUUACUAAUAGAUAUUAAAACAUGGUAGACAAAUGAAAGCCCUGUAGACUAUACAGCUGGAAGGACACACUUUCUUCUGACAGCAAGGCAGUCAACAGAUGUCUGGGGAUUCAAGGAAAUUUGGAUGAAAUUACCUCUCUAUUAAGGUGCCUUUUCUUUUGUAACUCAUAAGUUAGAAGAGAGGGGCAAAGGGAAGCCAUGAUCUCCUGGGUCGCUUUUUCAAACUUUUUUCUUUUUAACUUAGAAAGAGGAGACAAGUCCAAGUCACCGUGAUGGUACAAGACAAACACAGCUCAACCGGGGCAGGCUUAAAGGAUGUGGACACUAAGUGCUAUCCAUCAGCAGUUAGAAACGUUGAGGACAUAGAGACGGAGAAGUGAAAUUGCUGGCUUCAUGUCUGGUGCUCAGUGUCUGGUGAGGAACAUCUUUACCAGUGGAUUCUGUCCCUCGCUGAAACGCCUCCCAGUAUCUCAUUAGGUGUUGUUUUAAGUUGGGGCUGACCACAGGAAAAAUUCAGAGAUUUGGAAGGUGGACAUAGAGGCAUUCGCCCCUUUAAAGGGUUACAGGCUCUUACCAUGUGGGCCAGGCUGACCUCAAACUCAUGCUGAUCAUUCUGCCUUAGCCUCUCAACUUCUGGGAUUAUAGGCACGAGUCACAGUGCCUAGCUACAGCAGCCGGUUCUAUGUCCCUAAGAUUGGGCCAGGGAAAGGCCAGACAUACCUGUCAUUCUCCUGUGUGUUGCUCUGUGGCCGGGGUUGCCAGCCUUUCCUGUCACACUGUGCUUUAAAUGAUGUGAGAGAAAAGUGUAGGGCUGAGGUUUGCAUUUGGAGGCCGCCAUUUAUACCUCCUUCCCAGCUUCCUGCCCAGGUGAGUGCAAAGGCAAUGGCUUUGCCUAUGCCCUCCCUCCCUUCCCCAAGUCUAUAUCUUAACACAACAUCCUAUUUAUAGAGUUCCUGCAUCUUGCUUCUAACAUGGACUGAUAUUCUGACUCUAUAACUGGAUGGCUAUAUGACGAUAGAUGCUGGAUGGACAACUGGGAAUAUUACAACUAUUAUUGUUUGGGGAGCUUCUGUGUUCUUGCAAGUGCUUGCUCUCAUUUUGGUUUUGGGCUCCAGGAAAAGCAAAUAGUAGUGGAGGCUGCUGAAAUUAAAAUGAUGCCGAAGAA
Rattus norvegicus (Norway rat) is the source of this 4015-nucleotide non-coding RNA. NCBI's taxonomy places the organism in Eukaryota, Metazoa, Chordata, Mammalia, Rodentia, Muridae. The record is from RefSeq and is a predicted model, not a curated record.